AUGGAGAUCGACGACCUCAUCUCCGAGACCCUCCUCCGCCUCCCGCCGGAACCAUCUUCCCUCCCGCGCACCUCCCUCGCCUCCACGCGCUGGCGCGGCCCCUCCCGCGACCCGGCCUUCCUCCGCCGCUUCCGCGCCCACCACCGCCCCCACGCGCCCCUCCUCGGCGGCUUCUUCACCGACUACCCCACCCCCGCGCACCGCAACAACUUCGUCUCCUUCAUCCCGACGCUGGAUGCCCCCAACCGCGUCCGCUUCCCCUUCCCGGUCGCCGACUUCCCAUGCAUACUAUUCAGCUGCCGCCACGGCCUCGUGCUCGCCACCUCCGAGCAUCGGCAAGGGUUCCUGGUUUGUGACCCCGUCACCGGCGACUAG
This 375-nucleotide ribosomal RNA is filed under the name Triticum aestivum (bread wheat). RNAcentral describes it as "partial small subunit ribosomal RNA". The record is from RNAcentral. Lineage: Eukaryota; Viridiplantae; Streptophyta; Magnoliopsida; Poales; Poaceae.